Sinocyclocheilus grahami is the source of this 1108-nucleotide long non-coding RNA. RefSeq lists it as uncharacterized. Lineage: Eukaryota; Metazoa; Chordata; Actinopteri; Cypriniformes; Cyprinidae. The record is from RefSeq and is a predicted model, not a curated record. The transcript has 3 exons.
ACAUUAUUAUUUGUCAAUUUUAAUUCUGAAACGAUCCAUUUUUGUAUUUUUAUUAAUUAUGGCAAUUGGCUCAUAACUGGCUUAAAACUUUUUUCUCAAGUUUAUUAAGGCCAUCUGAUCUGCAUUCCAUGAUAAUUAAUAUAAAUUAACAUAGAUUUCAAAAAGUGCCCCUAAUUGAAGAAUCACCAAAACAUCUCAUGAGUGCAGACUUCAUUUAAACGCAAUGAAUGUGGGGGAAAAAUACUAUACGUUUUGUUAAUAAUGUAAUCAAAACUUUGUGUGUCUAUUGAAUCUGACUUGCUUGUACCAAAAGAAAUUGGUUAAUACUAAAUGAAAGCAAAUAUAUCGUUAUUUUGUGAUCAAGUUGUGCGAAAAUGUAGUCAUCUCCAGAUUAUGUAAAACUCAAAUCACGUCUAGCCUAAAAAUAGAGCAUUCGAGAUUUCCCUCAAAGUGAGACGUCACAACGCUUCUGGAUUCUGGGGGAGGAAAGAGGAAGCAUCUGAAAAGGUGGCUCGGAUCGGGGGGGGAAGCAUGUCGGGGCACAUGGCAUGGGAGACUACCAGAUCAGAGACUGAAAGACUGAGAGAUCACGCCUUGAGUCCGCCUUGUGAUGCAGUCUCCAUGGCGACUACAGUUUCCUGGGAAACAACCUGGACGUCUGUUCACUGGAAUUCUGGAGUUUGCUGACGACAGAUAUUAGGCUAAUAUGAAUGAAGAAAACACUUAAGGCUUCGGGGGAGAUCCACGCAGUGCCUAGGACCAACGACCAAUAGAAAUGGAUGCCGUUAACCUUUCUGCUACCAAAACAGAACUGAACUCACCUUCAAAUGACACAGAAGAUGCCCGCAUAUCUCUACUGCCACUUCUCAUUUACGUCUGGCUGAAUCACCGUGAACCGCAACACUCCAGAAGUGACCUUUUUUGGGUGAAUUCUGCAGGUUCACAUUUAAUACGAAGAAAGCAAUACGAAGAGAACUGAACUGUUGAACUGUUGGACAUGAACUGUUGGAUCAUCUAAGAGACCACUGCCAGAUAUUAAUCAAGUUGUUUUCUGGUGUCCAUCAUGUAUUUACAGUUUAGCUGUUGUUGUGCCAGAUGUGAUAACUAU